UGGGGAAUUUUGGACAAUGGGCGAAAGCCUGAUCCAGCAAUGCCGCGUGUGUGAAGAAGGCCUUCGGGUUGUAAAGCACUUUUGUCCGGAAAGAAAUCCUUGGCUCUAAUACAGUCGGGGGAUGACGGUACCGGAAGAAUAAGCACCGGCUAACUACGUGCCAGCAGCCGCGGUAAUACGUAGGGUGCAAGCGUUAAUCGGAAUUACUGGGCGUAAAGCGUGCGCAGGCGGUUUGCUAAGACCGAUGUGAAAUCCCCGGGCUCAACCUGGGAACUGCAUUGGUGACUGGCAGGCUAGAGUAUGGCAGAGGGGGGUAGAAUUCCACGUGUAGCAGUGAAAUGCGUAGAGAUGUGGAGGAAUACCGAUGGCGAAGGCAGCCCCCCUGGGCCAAUACUGACGCUCAUGCACGAAAGCGUGGGGAGCAAAACAGGAUUAGAUACCCCUGGUAGUCCACGCCCUAAACGAUGUCAACUAGUUGUUGGGGGAUUCAUUUCCUUAGUAACGUAGCUAACGCGUGAAGUUGACCGCCUGGGGGAGUACGGUCGCAAGAUUAAAACUCAAAGGAAUUGACGGGGUCAUAGCUGUUUCCU
This 590-nucleotide ribosomal RNA is filed under the name uncultured bacterium. RNAcentral's name for it is "partial 16S ribosomal RNA". It matches the Rfam family "Bacterial small subunit ribosomal RNA", at positions 355 to 1375 of the family's 1533-position model. The record is from RNAcentral.